Parus major (Great Tit) is the source of this 326-nucleotide long non-coding RNA. RefSeq lists it as uncharacterized. The record is from RefSeq and is a predicted model, not a curated record. NCBI's taxonomy places the organism in Eukaryota, Metazoa, Chordata, Aves, Passeriformes, Paridae. The transcript is spliced from 4 exons.
CCAGAUCUGCCAGCCCCUCCCGUUAAGCCCCACCCGGGGGUCCCUGUGGCGGCUCCUGCACCGGACCAGCCUCGUGCACCCUGAGGUCGAGUUUCAUUUCUGUGUCAGCAUCGAUGGGAAGGUCACGUCCCGAACCCUCAGCCCCGAGCCCCCCUGGGCACAGGCGGGAACCAGGCUGAGGGUGCAGAGCCGGCACUUCACUGGGCCGCCCUGCAGCCGUCUCCGCCCGUGCCCGGGGCCGCCGCUGCCGCUGCCGGUACCGGCCCCGCUGGCGGCCGCGGGCUUCGGGGGGGACCUGCAGCUGCUCCCGGUCAGCGCCCUCAGCC